Molecule: long non-coding RNA, 2203 nt
Organism: Brassica napus (rape)
Lineage: Eukaryota; Viridiplantae; Streptophyta; Magnoliopsida; Brassicales; Brassicaceae
Exons: 3
Source: RefSeq, a predicted model, not a curated record
GAGUCGGUCGCUAAUCAUUGUUAUUGGGCUUGAAGAUGAGCCCAUGUAAAAAAUGCUUCUUUCAGCGAGACAUGAUUUUCUGAGCAAUCCCCGAAGCUAACUCCGAACCUCAAACUGUUUUCUUCACCGCCUACAAAAAAGUUGGUUGGUUAUUAAGCAUCCCUGGUUCACGCCUUUUUGGCGGUUGUUGGUAGUUUAGUAUCGAUUUAUGAUCGAACCCGGUCCGACCAGCGUGUAUGGAAAAAUUGAGUGGUUUAAUUUGCCAAUUAUCUAGAAGAACCUCGCUAAACCCCUCCCUCCAACUUUCUCGGCAUCCUCCGGCGGAAGAAGAUUCUCCGGUACACUCAUAUGUUUAUGCAAGAGUUUGAGUUAGGCUUUCCAGUAGAAUAGCUAUAGUUUCAGAUCCGAAUUGGGUUUAAAAUUUCGAACUUUAAUUACUGUUUCUGCUCUUACUUACUGAUUCUAUCUUUGAAGUUGUAAGAUGAGAACUUUCUUUUCACUGAUUAGGAAUCAUCUGGUUGAAGAGUGAGUUAGGUGUGUGUGAGUUUGUCAUUGUCUGGUUUGAGAAACUUUGUUAAUCGUCAUGGAAGAUAUGUUAGUCCAUUUUUCUUUUUUGGUAGUUAGGGGACUUGAAUCUUGAAGAUAUGCUCAAUGCUGCAUCACCUGGUAUUGACGAAAUAGUGACAUAAAUAUUCUUUUUCUUCACUACUGAGUUUGUCAGUGUAACCAUCCCAACGGUCAUGGCAAUAAACGAGUCUUUGGGAUUACAUGCAUCUUUAAGAAAAGAAAAUGUGGCCAGUUCACAGGCUUGUUGUUAAUCAUCUUCUCCCUCGUUCUGAAUCCGACUGCAAAUUUUGCUCAGUGAGACGAAAGGUAGCUCUAAUUUCAGGUAAUGCUUUUAUGGAUAGCCGCGGGUUUGGUGUGCGAUUCUUGUGAGUUCAGUUGCGUUUGCUUUGGUGCAUUUUAAUGAUGUUUUGGUGUUCCUUGGAGUGGUUUUGGGUUUGAUAUUCGCAAGGUCAAGGAACUUGUUACCUUCGAUGUUGUUGCAUAGCUUGUGGAAUGGCUUUGUGUUCAUGGAACUAAUGCGAUGGAGAUAUCUUCUGUAGGUGUCUGUUUUUUACCUUCUUAUUCUUGUAAUUGAUUCAUGUUAUGAUUUGUAGUAUUCUUUUAAUUAAAUGGACAGUUCAGUUGUAAAAAGAAAAGAAAAAUGUCAAAAAGAAGAAAAGGAAAUGAGAAAUUUUCAAAAAAAAAAAGAAAGAAGUUUAGCACUUUUAAAUCAAAUAGAAAAAGAAAGACCAUACUGAAAUAUUAAUCUAUACAGCAAAAAGUUUUGGUACAAAAAGAAAAAGAUUAAACUGGUUAUACUUUGAUUUCGUCUUUUUGAUCUUUGUAAACGAUUGGAUUAAGCUUCCAUCUUGAUAGAUAUGAAGCAUAUCAUAUGAAAAUGACAUUCACAUAAUAUAUAUAUCUAUAUAGGCAAGAUGUGAAUAAGUAAAAAAGAAAAACAUGAAGUGCAUGUCUUGUAGCUUCUAAGUCUUAUCAUUAUCUCAGUUUAAGGUGGUGAUAUCAGUUAUCCGCCCCUUGAGCUCGAUUAAGGCCAACUAAUCCUUCUUCAACUUAUAAAUCCAUUACUAAUACUGACAAAAAAAAUCCAUUAGUUAUAACUCUUUUUACUUUUUUUUUUAAUUCCACUUAUCGCGAAAGGUUUGGAUUUUUAAACAACUUUCCCAAAUCUUUUCUUCCUCUUUUCUAUGUAUAAUAUCCAAGUAUAGUAUACAUGCCAUACUUAGCGAAGAGUUUAUAUCUAUUAAUAUUAGCCUUACACAUGUUCAUGGAGCUUAUAUUAUUCUAUAUAGAACACUUUGUUUAAUCCCUAGUUAUAACUUUUUGUUUUGUAAUAAAAUAUUUAAAUAACUUGGUCUUACCGGCUGCCCUCGAGUUGCAAACUUAGUUUUGAUUAAUAUAUAACACACUACGGUAGAAGUUUACUUUUGGCUGCGUAUCUUUUUGCUUAUUUGCAUAUCUCCGCAAAGACUAAUGCAAGAAAUGAAUUCAACGUAAGUCCAUAUUAAAAAUAUAGCUUAGAUAGACUCGGACCAAACAUCGACCUCCUCGGGAUAGCGGGGAAUGUAUAAUUUGGCCAGCCGAAGCCAUCGCCGUCAAAUCAGACACAUUAAUUUGGUCAACAAAUUCGGGGAUCAAC